AAAAACAUGUCCUUUUGAUUAAAAUUUAAGGUCUAGCCUGCUCAAUGAAUUUUAAAUAGCCGCAGUAUCCUAACUGUGCAAAGGUAGCAUAAUCAUUAGUUUUUUAAUUGAAAGCUGGAAUGAAAGGUUGAAUGAGAAAAUAUCUGUCUCUAUAAAAAUUAUAUAGAAUUUUAUUUUUAAGUAAAAAAGCUUAAAUUUAAAUAAAAGACGAGAAGACCCUAUAGAGUUUUAUAUUUAUAAAUUAUAUUUAUUUUUGGGAUUUUAGAAUUUAUUUUUUUAUAAUAUUUGGUUGGGGUGAUUGGAAAAUUAAAUAAACUUUUCUUUAUAGUUUACAUUUAUAUGUGAAAUUAUGAUCCUUAAAUUAAGAUUAUAAGAUUAAAUUACCUUAGGGAUAACAGCGUAAUUUUUUUUGAGAGUUCUUAUCGAAAAAAAAGAUUGCGACCUCGAUGUUGGAUUAAAAUUAAUUUUUGGUGUAGAAGCUAAAUAAAUUAGGUCUGUUCGACCUUUAAAAUUUUACUUGAUCUGAGUU
RNAcentral lists this ribosomal RNA (529 nucleotides) under Ceutorhynchus tibialis. Its description in RNAcentral is "partial 16S ribosomal RNA". It matches the Rfam family "Bacterial large subunit ribosomal RNA", at positions 1811 to 2611 of the family's 2925-position model. Lineage: Eukaryota; Metazoa; Arthropoda; Insecta; Coleoptera; Curculionidae. The record is from RNAcentral.